GUGGGGAAUAUUGGGCAAUGGGCGAAAGCCUGACCCAGCAACGCCGCGUGAGGGAAGAAGGUUUUCGGAUCGUAAACCUCUGUCCUUAGUGAAGAGAAAGAGACGGUAGCUAAGGAGGAAGCCCCGGCUAACUACGUGCCAGCAGCCGCGGUAAUACGUAGGGGGCGAGCGUUGUCCGGAAUGAUUGGGCGUAAAGGGCGCGUAGGCGGCCUGUUAAGUCCGGAGUGAAAUUCCUGCUUUCAAGGUAGGAAGUGCUUUGGAAACUGGCGGGCUGGAGUGCAGGAGAGGUUAGCGGAAUUCCCGGUGUAGCGGUGAAAUGCGUAGAGAUCGGGAGGAACACCAGUGGCGAAGGCGGCUAACUGGACUGUAACUGACGCUGAGGCGCGAAAGUGUGGGGAGCAAACAGGAUUAGAUACCCCGGUAGUCC
This 427-nucleotide ribosomal RNA is filed under the name uncultured bacterium. Its description in RNAcentral is "partial 16S ribosomal RNA". It matches the Rfam family "Bacterial small subunit ribosomal RNA", at positions 354 to 796 of the family's 1533-position model. The record is from RNAcentral.